GCAUUCUCAUCAGAGUCGUUUAAUUAGAUCUGUAUUAGAAACAUAACUUUUUAAAUUGUAAAUACCACUAAAAUAUGGUGGUGGUUUACCUAUAUAAGACAAAUUAAUGUCAUUCAGCGCCUAGAUCGUAUGUACCCUGGCAUAAUAACAAUUAACAAGCAAGCAUAGGUUGCCCCAACUCCUAAUGGCUCUCAUGUCACAAGCGAGUGCAGAUCAGACGAGCCUCGUCAUCAGCUGAUGACUCCAUUAGGUCAUGAUGAUACAAGAGUUGGUGUCGGGAUCGACCAGCGCCGGCACGAGAUACUUCCUGCCGUUCCGGCCGACCACGUUGUACCCAGCUCCGGUAGCCGUGUCAAGCCUGACAGCGCCGGGGUACCCCGGGUACGCGCCGCGGCCGUAGACGCCGGGGCAUGCAGCCGCCACCUCCACGGGUGCGCCGGGGUCGCCCUGGAAGUAUCCGUGCCCAUAUGGGUUGGUGACCGCGCCCGCCAGCAGCGCCGCGAGGUUGAUCAGCAUGCCGUCCACACCGACGUCGCCGUUUGGCGCGGCCAGCGUCUCGCCGCGGCCGCGCCCGGGCACAUGCCUGGCGCCGUAUGCGAAGCCCUCGGCCGGGUGGAAUGGCCACGCGCACCGCCCCGGGCACUGAACGGCGGCGUCGCCCACCCACACGUGCGCGGCUCCCCCAGGCGCGGAGGCCCCGUGCGUCCCGCACGCGCUGCUGCAUUGUCCCUCGACGGCGACGUCGGCGGCAGUGAGCACGACGGCCACGCCUCCUGGCGCGACGCCGAGCCGCGCCGCCAGCCGCUCGACCUGGACCCUGGACAGCGUCUUCCCCAGCGAGCACGCCUCGUCGUGCACCUGGUUGGCCAGAAGCACCCGCGGCGGCUCCCGGCCGGCCUUGCGCGCGUACCGGUCCACCGUCUCCCACCAGCGGGCCACCGACGGCGCAGGCGCGGGUCCUGGCGUCCCAAAUCCGUGGCGCUGCGGCUGGCGGCCGCGCGGGGAGAGGGAGAGCAGGAAGUCGGCGAUGACGGCCUUCUGGUGUGGCGAGAAGGCGCCGUAGUAGAGGACGGAGACCGGCACGGCGCCGUCGAGCACCUCGCCGGCGUGGUAGACCAUGGCGGACGGCGGCGGCGGGCGGUAGAGCGAGGAGUGGCACGGGCGCGCCAAACUGAGCAACAGGACGGCGAGGUGGACGGCGCCACAGCCGACGCACGAUGUUGCCUGCUUGCCCAUGGUUGUGGCGGUUUUGUCUUGCGCACCGAUCGAGCUGCGCUUGCACACUAUGCAACACGCAAGGUUGUGAGGCAGGCAGCUAG
RNAcentral lists this unclassified non-coding RNA (1319 nucleotides) under Zea mays. RNAcentral's name for it is "misc RNA Zm00001eb224190". The record is from RNAcentral. Lineage: Eukaryota; Viridiplantae; Streptophyta; Magnoliopsida; Poales; Poaceae.